Molecule: ribosomal RNA, 370 nt
Filed under: uncultured eukaryote
Lineage: Eukaryota
Description: partial 18S ribosomal RNA
Rfam family: Eukaryotic small subunit ribosomal RNA
Source: RNAcentral
CAAUAGCGUAUAUUAAAGUUGUUGCAGUUAAAAAGCUUGUAGUUGGAUUUCUGGUCGGAAGCUCCUGUCCUCUGAUGAGCGUACAAGUGCGUCCUACCAUCCUUCUGUUAACCUUUAAGGCUUUCGCGGCUUUCUAGGGGCUCAGAUAUUUUACCUUGAGAAAAUUAGAGUGUUUCAGGCAGGCUAGCGCCGGAAUACAUUAGCAUGGAAUAAUGGAAUAGGACUUUUGCCUCUUCUGUUGGUCAUGAGGCUCGAGUAAUGAUUAAUAGGGAUAGUUGGGGGCAUUAGUACUUAACUGUCAGAGGUGAAAUUCUCGGAUUUGUUAAAGACUAACUUAUGCGAAAGCAUUUGCCAAGGAUGUUUNCAUUAA